RNAcentral lists this unclassified non-coding RNA (218 nucleotides) under uncultured Thelephoraceae. Its description in RNAcentral is "sequence contains ITS2". Lineage: Eukaryota; Fungi; Basidiomycota; Agaricomycetes; Thelephorales; Thelephoraceae. The record is from RNAcentral.
ACACCUCAACUCUCAUGGUUUGCCAUGAUGAGCUUGGACUUUGGGGGUCUUGCUGGCCUGUGGUCAGCUCCUCUCAAAUGGAUUAGCUUGCCAGUGUUUGGUGGCAUCACAGGUGUGAUAACUAUCUACGCUUGUGGUUUUCCACCAGGUAACCUUCAGCAAUGGGGGUUCGCUGGGGCUCAUAAAUGUCUCUCCUCAGUGAGGACAGCUCUUUGAAC